Myotis lucifugus (little brown bat) is the source of this 2403-nucleotide RNA transcript. It is a transcript of the gene named polypeptide N-acetylgalactosaminyltransferase 7, with no coding region annotated. The record is from RefSeq and is a predicted model, not a curated record. The transcript has 13 exons. Lineage: Eukaryota; Metazoa; Chordata; Mammalia; Chiroptera; Vespertilionidae.
CCCCUCCCUUUUGUAUAGGAAGACAGAGAUGUCAAUAACCCCAUGCCUAACCGAGGAGGCAAUGGACUAGUUCCUGGGGAUGACAGAUUCAAACCUGUGGUACCCUGGCCUCAUGUUGAAGGAGUAGAAGUGGACUUAGAAUCUAUUAGAAGAAAACACAAGGCCAAAAAUGAACAAGAGCACCAUGCUGGAGGAGAGAACCAGAGAGACAUAAUGCAGAGGCAGUAUCUCACUUUUAAGCCUCAGACAUUCACCUACCGGGAUCCUGUGCUACGCCCCGGGAUCCUCGGUAACUUUGAACCCAAAGAACCUGAGCCUCAUGGAGUGGUUGGUGGCCCUGGAGAGAAUGCCAAGCCAUUGGUUUUGGGACCAGAACUCAAACAUGCAGUUCAAGCCAGCAUUAAAGAGUUUGGAUUUAACAUGGUGGCAAGUGACAUGAUCUCCCUGGACCGCAGCGUCAAUGACCUACGGCAAGAAGAGUGCAAGUAUUGGCAUUACGAUGAAAACCUGCUCGUUUCCAGCGUUAUCAUUGUUUUCCAUAAUGAAGGAUGGUCAACCCUCAUGAGAACAGUCCACAGUGUCAUAAAAAGGACUCCAAGGAAAUAUUUAGCAGAAAUUGUAUUAAUUGAUGAUUUCAGCAAUAAAGAACACUUAAAAAAAAAGCUAGAUGACUAUAUUAAGCUGUGGAAUGGCCUAGUAAAGGUAUUUCGAAAUGAGAGAAGAGAAGGUUUAAUUCAAGCACGAAGUAUUGGUGCCCAGAAGGCUAAACUUGGGCAGGUUUUGAUAUACCUUGAUGCCCACUGUGAGGUGGCAGUUAACUGGUAUGCACCACUUGUAGCCCCCAUUUCUAAGGACAGAACUACAUGUACUGUGCCUCUAAUAGAUUACAUAGAUGGGAAUGAUUAUUCCAUUGAACCACAGCAAGGUGGGGAUGAAGAUGGUUUUGCCAGAGGGGCCUGGGACUGGAGUUUACUAUGGAAACGUAUUCCUCUAAGCCACAAGGAAAAGGCCAAAAGAAAACAUAAAACUGAACCUUAUCGAACCAUUUGCACUGUGCCGAUUAUAGAUGUCAUAAAUGGCAACACAUACGAAAUUGUACCCCAAGGGGGUGGUGACGAAGAUGGGUAUGCCCGAGGAGCAUGGGAUUGGAGUAUGCUCUGGAAACGGGUGCCUCUGACCCCUCAAGAGAAGAGAAUCAGAAAGACAAAAACUGAACCAUAUCGGUCCCCAGCCAUGGCUGGUGGAUUAUUUGCCAUUGAACGAGAGUUCUUCUUUGAACUGGGUCUGUAUGAUCCAGGUCUCCAGAUUUGGGGCGGUGAAAACUUUGAAAUCUCAUACAAGAUAUGGCAGUGUGGCGGCAAAUUACUGUUUGUCCCUUGUUCUCGUGUGGGACAUAUCUACCGUCUCGAGGGCUGGCAAGGGAAUCCUCCGCCCAUUAAUGUUGGGUCUUCUCCAACGAUGAAGAAUUAUGUUAGAGUUGUUGAGGUCUGGUGGGAUGAAUAUAAAGACUACUUCUAUGCCAGUCGUCCUGAAUCAAAGGCAUUAGCAUAUGGAGAUAUCUCUGAGCUGAAAAAAUUUCGAGAAGAUCACAACUGCAAAAGUUUCAAAUGGUUCAUGGAAGAGAUCGCUUAUGAUAUCACCUCACACUACCCUUUGCCACCCAAAAAUAUUGACUGGGGAGAAAUCAGAGGCUUUGAAUCUGCUUACUGCAUUGAUAGCAUGGGAAGGACAAACGGAGGCUUUGUUGAACUAGGACCCUGCCACAGGAUGGGAGGGAACCAGCUUUUCCGAAUCAACGAAGCUAAUCAACUCAUGCAGUAUGACCAGUGUUUGACAAAGGGGCCUGAUGGAUCAAAAAUCAUGAUUACACACUGUAACCUAAAUGAAUAUAAGGAAUGGCAGUACUUCAAGAACCUGCACAGGUUUACUCACAUUCCUUCCGGAAAGUGCUUAGACCGCUCAGAUGUCCUCCAUCAAGUGUUCCUCUCCAAUUGUGACUCCAGUAAAAUGACUCAGAAGUGGGAAAUGAAUAACAUCCACAGUGUUUAGAAAGAAUAAAAGAAACCAAUAACCUACCUACUGACACGUAAAUUUUCACAGGACUGAAAACCGCCUGAAACCUGCUGCAACUAUUAUUAACUCUGUACAGCUCCAAACCCAGCACCUCCUGAUAGAUGGGGAAACUGAAAGGUUACAUGACUUGUCUGAUGUUACUGAACCAAAAAGAAACAGAGCCCAACUCUGACCUGAUUCCCAGGUAUAAGCUUUAUCACUUUACUCUUAAUUUCUUUCAUAACCUUGUUUUCCCUUUUGUAUGUCUUUUUUUAAUUUUUUCUUUGUAUAAGCGAUCCCAUCUUGAUUAGAAAAAAUGUGGAGAAUUAAAGAAUAGCACAUAAAUUGGAA